CGAACACUUCUGUUUUCACCAACCAUAUCGCUAUUUUCGGUAAAGAAUGAAGAGGCAUGUGACGGUCCCGCAGCCGCCGGUCAUGGAGGUUCCCCAGGUUCCUGAGUCCUCGAGCCAGGGAGAACUGGGAGCCACCGGAGGA
Cololabis saira (Pacific saury) is the source of this 142-nucleotide long non-coding RNA. RefSeq lists it as uncharacterized. NCBI's taxonomy places the organism in Eukaryota, Metazoa, Chordata, Actinopteri, Beloniformes, Belonidae. The record is from RefSeq and is a predicted model, not a curated record. The transcript is spliced from 3 exons.